UUUCUGCGCCUGGGGCGGCGGGCACGGGCCCUGACUUUCUUCUUCCUUCGCCGCCGCCGCCGCCGCCGCCGCCGCCGCCGCUGCCAGCAGAGGUGGCGGAGCUCCCCUUUCCUCCGCUCCCCCCCCUCCACGAGGAGGCUCCUGGUGUGCGCGGCCGGCCCGGCUCGCUCCUCCCCUUCCCUCUCCGAGCCUCGUCAGGAGGAGGGAGGGCGACGGCACUCGCUGGUUGGGCCCUAACCUCCACAACCCCUCCUUCUCGCCUCGCUCUCUCGGCCUUUCCCCUCGGCCCCGACGCACGGCCGGGGGCGCGCACGCACGUCACGCUCCGCGACCGCCGAAGAUGCAGAUGUAGAUGGUCUACAGUCUUCAACGAAUUCAUUGUUCUCUGGAUUCCGUUGGGGCUCAGCCCAUGGCAAACCCAGAAGGAAACCAAAGGGAGGAAGGGAAGCAGGGAGAAAUUGUGUUGCUGCUACAAGAGGAUGGCAGAGAGCUGUGUGAAGAGCACAGAGGAUUUGCUGGAUGCCUCCUACUACUACUCAAUUGUCCAAUCAUUCUUGUCAAUGGGGAGUGGUAGCCACAGAAUAAAAUAAGACCACUAAGGAUGCAAAUCCCAUAAGAAUAAAGGUUUGAGUCCCUCCUACCAGGAAAAGAACUCCAUCCAGCUGAGAUGCUCCCAGAGGAUAAGAGAAACACGAAGUGAAUGUGGAAGAAAACAGAUAUGAUCACCACCUACUUAGACCUCAUGUGCAGUCACAGAAGCAGAGAGGGUAAUAGGUACAGAGAAAGCAUGAGCAGGAGGGGCAGAGGGAGAGAGGGUCUCCUUCAGCGCGGAGUCCCACACAGGCCUGGAUCUCAUGACCCUGAGAUGAGGACCUGAGCUGAAACCAAGAGGCCGGCACUUAACCAACCGGGCCCCCCAGCCCCGCCCCCUACUUUCAGAGGUUUUAAUGCAGCAGCAAAUACAGAGCUGGCCCCGGGGAGUCUGAAUGUGAGCAGCAGCCAGGAGACGCUGAUGCAGGUGGUCCCAGGACGAAUGUCAGUACUGCCGGCAACAUCUCCAGGCACAAGGACCAGGACCUGGCCCCUCACUCACAGGACGCCCGGGAAGAUGUUAGGGCCCCAAAGGAGCCAGCCUGUGAGGACCUGGGAUCUGAAGCAUGGAGUCAGGUGAGCCCAGAGAGGGAACGCGGAGGAGGUGGUGGGGGGGGUGCUCCAGAGAGCCGCGGGGAGCCUGCGAGGCUGCUCCCAGCCGCGCCCCCUGCCCUCUGGGACCCACCACCGGCUCCAGAAGGAGGUGGCUUUCCUACGAAAUGAGCAACACCCAAGACGCGGGGUUCCUCGGAGUGAUCUCAGGGCUUGUGCGCCGGGCUGGCUUGUGGCCCGUGUGGCCAUCGUGGAGCCUCGUGACCGCUUCUUGGGAGGAUCCUAGAGUUAGGAUCCUAGGGUUAGGAUCCCAGGGUUAGAACCCCAGGGUCAGGAUCGUAGGGUUAGAACCCCAAGGUCAGGAUCCCAGGGUAGGAUCCCAAGGUCUGGAUCUCAGGGUUAGGAUUCCAAGGUUGGGAUCCCAGGGUUAAGAUCCUAGGGUUAGGAUCCCAGGGUUAGAACCCCAAGGUUAGGAUCCCAGGGUUAGAAACCCAGGGUUAGAACCUCAGGGUUAGGAUCCUAGGGUUAGAACCCCAAGGUUAGAACCCCAGGGUUAGGAUCACAGGGUUGGGAUCCUAGGGUUAGGAUCCCAGGGUUAGAACCCCAAAGUUAGGAUCCCAGGGUUAGGAUCCCAAGGUUGGGAUCCCAGGGUUAAGAUCCUAGGGUUAGGAUCCCAGGGUUAGAACCCCAAGGUUAGGAUCCCAGGGUUAGAAACCCAGGGUUAGAACCUCAGGGUUAGGAUCCCAGGGUUGGGAUCCUAGGGUUAGGAUCCCAGGGUUAGAACCCCAAGUUUAGAACCCCAGGGUUAGGAUCCCAGGGUUAGAAUCCUACGGUUAGGAUCCUAGGGUUAGGAUCCCAGGGUUAGAAUCCCAGGGUUAGGAUCCCAGGGUUAGAAUCCUAGGGUUAGGAUCCCAGGGUUAGGAUCCCAGGGUUAGCUGCACAAUGAGCGACCCAGAAACCCAGUGCCAGCGCUCCGCAGGCCGAAGCCGGAUUUGGGGUGCGGGAGGCUGAGACCGAGGCGCUGCCAGGCGCGAUGCCCUCCCCGGGGUGCGUCACCGGAGGGCGCCAGAGCAUCCUUCUCCGAAAGGAAUUUCCGUCCACGGAAACCCCGUUAGGCUUCGAUUCCAUCAACUACCUGCCCAAAGCCACCGUCUCCCCCGAAAUGAGACAGAAGAGGGCGGACAGGUGGCCGCGUAAGGAGUCUCCCGAGGGGCCGCGAAGUCGUCGACGUCAUCCGCUUUGUUAGACACGCACCUGCCUCCCCGCGCGCUCUCCCGGCCUCUACCAGCGCGCGGGAUGGAGGCUCCAGGGGACGCCGGCCUCCCGGCCCGGCUCCUGCAGCCCCUGCGGACGCCCCGGCCUCGGACAGCUUCUCCUCCAGUGUUCCCGGUUCGAACAGGGGAAACUGAGGCUCGAGGGGGCACCGGGACCUGCGCAGAGUCGCCCUACAGCUCAGUCUUGCGGCCCAGGGGAUACUUUCCUUUUAACCCAUGAGCUGACCCCGGAGUCCCCCCGUAGGAAGGGCUCUCGGUCCACUGAUGCAAGGGUAAGAGAGGGUCUGCGGCCCAGGAAACGGGGCUCAACGUGCAAAAAGCGAGCCUGAAAAAAAAAAAAAAAAAAAAGCGAGCCUGAUCUGGGAGGGGCGGGAGGGGGGCGGCUGGGAGCAGGAGACUCCGGCAACAUCCCCGUGUGGUGCUGCCAUCUUCUGUUCAGCUGGGAAAUUAAACCCAAACUGGCGUCAAGCCGGCUUUUCCAACAAAACGGAUUUUUGUAAAAGAACUGGCUACAUUUCUUCUGUGAUACUUUUCCCCUAAUGCAUUUGUUUGGUAUUUGCAAGCUGCAUGAUCAUCGCUAGAGAAAUACGAGAAGACAGGAAGAGGCCUGAGAAUUUGACAACCAUCCACUAAGAAGUUAAAUUAAAAACUUCAGUUUCAAACAAACAAACUCCAGUUUCUUCUAGACUCAGCUGGUUCACGUGUGAAAGGUCUGUGGCUCUGGCAUAUUUUAUAAUGGGCAUUUGCAGCAUGAUCGCUGACUCACGAAUUAAAAUG
This 3194-nucleotide long non-coding RNA is filed under the name Canis lupus familiaris (dog). RNAcentral describes it as "lncRNA (ENSCAFG00000057733.1)". The record is from RNAcentral. Lineage: Eukaryota; Metazoa; Chordata; Mammalia; Carnivora; Canidae.